UUCUCAUCUUCCUCAGGAAUACUUUUGGACUGCAAGAAGUCUGACAGGAGUAAAGGCUUAUAUACAGAGGAGGCGGAGCAAAUGAUCCAUUUAGUGCCAAUGGGGGACUUCUCUGUGGGUAGAUCUGUUGGUUCGUUCUGCGCAUGCUCAGUCCUCAUUCUUCUCCAGCAGUCGACGAGGGAGGAUCCUGUGUUUGCAGCUCCCGGGGUGAAGUCCCAGUCGGCCUUCUGU
Molecule: long non-coding RNA, 231 nt
Organism: Pantherophis guttatus
Lineage: Eukaryota; Metazoa; Chordata; Lepidosauria; Squamata; Colubridae
Source: RefSeq, a predicted model, not a curated record